Molecule: long non-coding RNA, 1873 nt
Filed under: Homo sapiens (human)
Lineage: Eukaryota; Metazoa; Chordata; Mammalia; Primates; Hominidae
Description: PREDICTED lncRNA (TCONS_00024697)
Source: RNAcentral
CACACUCAGGGGCUGAGACCUUAUUCACACCCAUGACCUGGUCCAGGAGCAUCUUGGGCACAGUGACAGAAAUGUACGCCAUGUCCAUGAGAGACAAUUGACUGAUGAAAAAGUACAUGGGGCUGUGGAGGUGGGCGUCACAGUGUAUCAGAAGGAUCAGGACAGCAUUUCCAGACAACGCCUUCAGGAAAACCACAAAGAUGACCACACUAAGUAGAGCUGGAUGUUUGGAUCGUCUGAAGAGUCCCAUGAGGAUGAAAUCCAACUUUCCAGUGUGGUUGGCCAUCCUGGUGAUGUUGGCCAUGAGGUUUCACCUAGGCCACCAAGGAGAGUUUUGGAGUCAGUGUAACGCGUCCCUUUGUAAUGAGUGUUUCAUGAUAAAGAAAAAAUGAGGAAAUGCUGUGAAGAACUAAUAGAACGUUUCAGAAGCAGAACAAGUCGAGAGCAGUGAUGACCCUUUUCUUCCUGCUAGUACCUCCUGUCUGUCUGGCUGAACUCACCAUCAGAUGAUGUCUUGAACCUCACCUAGAUGGGCUGGUGGUGUGUGGCCAGGUUAAGAGCACCAACAGGAGUAAGAAAGUGACCUGCCUGGUUUUACCGUGUGCACUAGGGGAGGGGUUGAAAGCUUUCGGUUGAUACAUCACCUCUGGGAGUUGAAGAAGAAUGCAAUUAAGAGAGCUAAAGAAGUCAGUAGGUAUCUCUCCUGAACAAUUCUGGUUUUCUUCUAAUAGCUUUUACAAUUUUUACCUCUGUUAUGAAAUGCAAACUUUUAACCAAUAUUAGUAAUAGUAAUCUCAAAUCUCAUCAUCAUCAAAAUCUUAUUUAUGAAAUGUAGGAGUUAGUUCAUAUACAGCCUUAGCCUUUUCCACAUUAUAAAAUAUAUUCCAUAUAUAUGUGUGAUCUUCAUUUAAUAUUCAAGUAAAUGUUGUAAGAUAUUGUUAUUUUUAUUCUAACAUUUCACAGGUAUAGAAUCUGAAACUCAGAGGUCAACUGAUGUGUCAAAGAUACCUCCACAAAUCAGUACCUUGAUUAAAACUAAAAUUGGAGUCAUCUUCAUAUCUUCAUCUUUCUCCCUCUUCAUUAGGACCGAUUGUAGUCUGUUUCCCUCUCACUCACUUGCAAUCUUUAUUGCUUUAGUGUUGCAUUUGAUUUUUAUCUUUGUUUUUGUUUUAAAUACUGUCAUUAAAGUCAUAGAAAAAUCUAAAGUAAAACUGGUUGAAUAAAAAUUUUAAAAUCGACUCUAAUGUAAUAAACCAGACAAAAAUGAUACUUUACAUGUUAUAUCUUCCCUUUAAACUACAAAUAUUCAUUGAGUGUAUACCCUGUAUUAGGCUGUUGGAAUAAAACAGGGAAGAAGACAGAAGAAACUGCACCGCCAUCUUAGAUCUUGCAGCCAAAUUCCUCUGAACUUUUCUCUAAAGACGUGCUCUGGAAAAAUGUUGAUCAUUUUCCUACAUCAUGGAGGUCUUUUCAUGACCACCUUUGUCUAGACAAUGUCCUGUUUUUAGGUGCACGUUUGAGGGCUGGAGUCUCUGACCCACAGUGCUGCAGCCUGCACGUGGUUUGUCCUGACUUCUUUGCUACUUCACUUUUCGUAAGGCUCUGAGAGUGCAGGCCCUUGUGGGUGGACACUGCAGGGUGAGAGGAAGAAGUAAACUACUUUUUUCCGUUUCUGAUGGGGGUGUGGGUCAGCAGCUAUAAGCAACAGGGACCAUGGGGGGCCUCAGACUUCAGCACCUGAGAGGCAGUUUCAGUCGUAUUGGGGAGAUGCAGGCAUCUGGGUUGCUGCACAUCACCAGGGCAGGGUUCUCUCAGCAGCCCUGGAGUGCAGAGUUCCCAUCAGCUCAGCAGUGAGGGGCACAUGGGGCUCCAG